GUUGCAGGCUAUCGUGUGUUAACCUGUACUUCUGCCGCAGAGUUUGGAGAAAGCGGCAGCAGAUUGUGCUGCCGCAGGCUGGAGCCUGGAACCUGGAGCCCUGGAGCCUUGAAUGGUGUGUGGUGGCAAUGGAGAGAGGCAGCUGGCAGUGACAGCUGCUCCGUGCUUGGCUACAGGAAGGAAAGAAGGAGAAAGCACCUACCAUAGGCUGGAGGCUAGAGCCUGCAGGACUGCGGCUGGCCUCGCUGGCUCGCCUCCCUGGCUGGCCUCGCUGUGGUUGGUGGCAGCGACGGAUACUGCAGCUGGCCAGAGUGUAGAAAGGCAAUGGGGCUUUUUUGGCUGUGUGUGUCCAGCUGUUCCAUGCCAGGAGGAGGAGGAGUUACAUGCUGGAAGCUUGCAGAUAGCCUGGGGCUGCUGCUCGCCUUGCUGCGGUUGGUGGCAGCUACCGAGACUACCUCGCACCAGAGCGCAAGGUAAGCUGUCAUCAGUUGGAGGUAAGCAGAAGACAGUAGAGAGUACAGAGCCCUGGACUGUGACUCAGAGGAUGAGCACCAGAUCCAGUUUGCUGUGCCACAGUGCUCAGCAUGAUGUAAACUCCACUGCGGACAGAUGCAGCCAAGAAGACAGGUCACCUUCUACCAACUCCCACCAGAGGAAACUCUUCCCCAGGACCCAGUACGUUGGCCCUCUGACCCUGCACACAGCACAUGAUGCUGAGGUUCAGUGCUGAACAAGAGCUACUGAGAGCCAGAGAUUCACUUCUUCCAUGGAGCCCCACUCAUGGAUGGAGGCUCUGUCCCGGGUCCAGUGCCACUGGGAACACUGGGUCUCUGGUUUCUAGCUCUGUCCUAUGGCAGAGGUUCCACCCCACAAUAACCGAAGUGCUGAGAAGGUGGGAAGCUCCUGCCCGACCCUCCACUGAGAGCUCAGCUCCUAGGCUGAGGAAUAAAACAGCUCAACUUUGUCUACACCUGCAGAACCUUGUUUAGGAGCUCUGUCCCAGGAGAGAGGGGGCAAUGGAAUUCAGUCAUAAAAUAUGAUCCUUAAUUAGUCCUAAAAAUCCUAACUUCAGUAACAGCAGAUUGUGGACAAAUUGAAAGCCUGCCAGUGCUCUCAAAAACAGUGGAUGGUGUGGUGGAAAGCCCUUGGAAGGAGACGGGUGGAUGCAUGGGAGAUGCAGGCUACACUGCAGGGCUGCUGGCUUGCAGGAGAGAACCGAGGACAAGGGAGAGCUGGGGAAAGUUCUCUUGUGGUUGAAAUAAAUGCCAGACACUCUUCAAUGGAGCCCAUGUUUGUUUGGUUCAGUCUGUGAAGUAAUUCAAACCUCAGUGCAUGAUUGAAAAUAGUACAAUUUUCCAUCUGCAAGUGGCAGAGCUCAACAUCUGGGUCUGGUCAGGAGAGAGACAGAGAGAGCCCAGCCCAAACCACUGACACCUGGGGUUGACAGUGCUGCUUACAGAUGUGUUCCUUUGAUCUUUGAGACUGGUUUCUCUCACUUAGCAUAAUGCCUGGAGUUCAACUGUAAUGGUUUGUGAAUCGAUCAUUUGAUAUUUUUUAUUGCUGAUGGAUUCAAUUUAUAGAUGCUUCCUAGUUUUUUCACCUACUCAAAUUUUGAGACAUUUAUGUUAUUUUUCAUUUCUAACACACACACAUGUAAUAUCUUGAAUAUUUGAAUAGAGGUUUUGUGUGAAAAUAAGAUUGUAUUUCUCUGAAGCAAAAUUCAAGAGUGGGAUAUUUAGGUCAUGUGUUAAGGGCAUGUUUGAUUGCAGAAAAAACUAAAAAUUAUUUUCCCGA
Long non-coding RNA from Homo sapiens (human), 1794 nucleotides. Ensembl annotates it as long intergenic non-protein coding RNA 1193. The record is from Ensembl. Lineage: Eukaryota; Metazoa; Chordata; Mammalia; Primates; Hominidae.